UGGCGUUGUGUGUUUUAUCUUUUGAGGA
This 28-nucleotide non-coding RNA is filed under the name Rattus norvegicus (Norway rat). The record is from RNAcentral. Lineage: Eukaryota; Metazoa; Chordata; Mammalia; Rodentia; Muridae.